UUCAUGUUAAGAUUAUGUACACUUUGCAUUUUGGAAGUGUUGAAGAGGAAAAGAUCAUAUUUAUUUUAAUAAAAUAAUCUUAGUGCCUGUAUAUUCAGACAUUUUAUAAACUCAAUUAAGAUAAUAGUAACAACUUCAAAACUGUUAUAAUAGCAAAGAAACUGCUACAAAUAUAACACAAAGAAAGCCAUUAAGUUUAAUCAAUCAGUUUUUUGUGAAUAUUGAUAUAUAGAUAUUAUACAUGUAACUUGUUAUGGUAAUUUCAUGAGUUAUAUAUUAGUGUAAAUCAAACAGACGC
This 298-nucleotide long non-coding RNA is filed under the name Mytilus galloprovincialis (Mediterranean mussel). Lineage: Eukaryota; Metazoa; Mollusca; Bivalvia; Mytilida; Mytilidae. The record is from RNAcentral.